RNAcentral lists this transfer RNA (69 nucleotides) under Pseudognaptodon sp. QL-2014. RNAcentral's name for it is "tRNA-Leu". Lineage: Eukaryota; Metazoa; Arthropoda; Insecta; Hymenoptera; Braconidae. The record is from RNAcentral.
AUUAUUUUGGCAGAAAAUAUUAUGCGAUAAAUUUAGAAUUUAUUAAUGUAAAUUUAUUUACAAAUAAUA